UCUAAUAUGGCAGAAUAGUGCCAUGAAUUUAAGCUUCAUAUAUAAAGUAAUAACACUUUUAUUAGAA
This 67-nucleotide transfer RNA is filed under the name Stictochironomus juncaii. RNAcentral's name for it is "tRNA-Leu". The record is from RNAcentral. Lineage: Eukaryota; Metazoa; Arthropoda; Insecta; Diptera; Chironomidae.